AUUCCGUAAUAAGGGCACUUCUGUAAUAAUUCUUUGUACCUUUCCCAUGCCUCAUACAAGGAUUCAUCAUCCAUUUGUUGGAAAGCAGUGAUCUCAUUCCUCAACUU
This 107-nucleotide small nucleolar RNA is filed under the name Gossypium arboreum. RNAcentral's name for it is "Plant small nucleolar RNA R71". It matches the Rfam family "Plant small nucleolar RNA R71". From Rfam's summary of the family: R71 is a member of the C/D box family of snoRNAs containing the C (UGAUGA) and D (CUGA) box motifs. Multiple nearly identical copies of this snoRNA have been identified in Arabidopsis, and it is thought to function as a 2'-O-ribose methylation guide for 18S ribosomal RNA. The record is from Rfam by way of RNAcentral. Lineage: Eukaryota; Viridiplantae; Streptophyta; Magnoliopsida; Malvales; Malvaceae.